GAUGAACGCUAGCGGCAGGCCUAAUACAUGCAAGUCGAGGGGCAGCACGGUAGCAAUAACUGGUGGCGACCGGCGCACGGGUGCGUAACACGUAUACAAUCUACCUUAAACAGGGGGAUAGCCUUUCGAAAGAGAGAUUAAUACCCCGUAAUAAAUUGAACGGCAUCGUUUGAUUUUGAAAGCUCCGGCGGUUUGAGAUGAGUAUGCGUCUGAUUAGCUAGUUGGUGAGGUAACGGCUCACCAAGGCGACGAUUCAGUUAGGGGAUCUGAGAGGACUAACCCCCACAACUGGUACUGAGACACGGACCAGACUCCU
Molecule: ribosomal RNA, 316 nt
Filed under: uncultured bacterium
Lineage: Bacteria
Description: bacterial SSU rRNA
Rfam family: Bacterial small subunit ribosomal RNA
Source: RNAcentral